RNAcentral lists this small RNA (151 nucleotides) under Oryza sativa Japonica Group (Japanese rice). RNAcentral describes it as "sRNA Os03g0388432". Lineage: Eukaryota; Viridiplantae; Streptophyta; Magnoliopsida; Poales; Poaceae. The record is from RNAcentral.
UUUAAGAAAAAAUGGACAAUGAUCCAUACUUCCGGGCCUGUUUGGUGGCUCAGGCGAGAGAGAGAAACUCCUGUAGUUUGAGAGUAUUUCGCAUAUUUCAGUGGGUCGCAACCAUCGCUUCCUAGCCUCCAGCACCAUCUGCGAAAUAUCU